CAGUAAGGAAUAUUGGUCAAUGGACGCAAGUCUGAACCAGCCAUGCCGCGUGGAGGAUGAAGGCCCUCUGGGUUGUAAACUUCUUUUAUUAGGGAAGAAACCGGUGUUUUCUAACGCCGUUGACGGUACCUGAUGAAUAAGCACCGGCUAACUCCGUGCCAGCAGCCGCGGUAAUACGGAGGGUGCAAGCGUUAUCCGGAUUCACUGGGUUUAAAGGGUGCGUAGGUGGGCAGGUAAGUCAGUGGUGAAAUCUCUGGGCUUAACCCAGAAACUGCCGUUGAUACUAUCUGUCUUGAAUGUAGUGGAGGUGAGCGGAAUAUGUCAUGUAGCGGUGAAAUGCUUAGAUAUGACAUAGAACAUCUAUUGCGAAGGCAGCUCGCUACACUAUUAUUGACACUGAGGCACGAAAGCGUGGGGAUCAAACAGGAUUAGA
RNAcentral lists this ribosomal RNA (433 nucleotides) under uncultured bacterium. RNAcentral's name for it is "bacterial SSU rRNA". It matches the Rfam family "Bacterial small subunit ribosomal RNA", at positions 352 to 782 of the family's 1533-position model. The record is from RNAcentral.